Molecule: ribosomal RNA, 838 nt
Filed under: uncultured bacterium
Lineage: Bacteria
Description: SSU rRNA
Rfam family: Bacterial small subunit ribosomal RNA
Source: RNAcentral
ACAUGCAAGUCGAACGAUGAACUUCCUUCGGGAAGGGAUUAGUGGCGAACGGGUGAGUAACACGUGAGAAAUCUGCCCUUCACUCUGGAAUAACUCCGGGAAACCGGAGCUAAUACCGGAUACUCAAAUUUGGCGGCAUCGCUGGAUUUGGAAAGUUUUUCGGUGAAGGAUGAUCUCGCGGCCUAUCAGCUUGUUGGUGAGGUAACGGCUCACCAAGGCUACGACGGGUAGCCGGCCUGAGAGGGCGACCGGCCACACUGGGACUGAGACACGGCCCAGACUCCUACGGGAGGCAGCAGUGGGGAAUAUUGGGCAAUGGACGAAAGUCUGACCCAGCGACGCCGCGUGAGGGAUGAAGGCCUUCGGGUUGUAAACCUCUUUCAGCAGGGAAGAAGCGAAAGUGACGGUACCUGCAGAAGAAGCACCGGCUAACUAUGUGCCAGCAGCCGCGGUAAUACAUAGGGUGCAAGCGUUGUCCGGAAUUAUUGGGCGUAAAGAGCUCGUAGGUGGUUAGUUACGUCGGAUGUGAAAAUCUAGGGCUCAACCCUAGACCUGCAUCCGAUACGGGCUAGCUUGAGUUUGGUAGGGGAGACUGGAAUUCCUGGUGUAGCGGUGGAAUGCGCAGAUAUCAGGAGGAACACCAAUGGCGAAGGCAGGUCUCUGGGCCAAUACUGACACUGAGGAGCGAAAGUGUGGGGAGCGAACAGGAUUAGAUACCCUGGUAGUCCACACAGUAAACGAUGGGCACUAGUUGUGGGAACCUUCCACGGUUUCUGCGACGCAGCUAACGCAUUAAGUGCCCCGCCUGNGGAGUACGAUCGCAAGAUUAAAACUCANA